Molecule: ribosomal RNA, 496 nt
Filed under: uncultured bacterium
Lineage: Bacteria
Description: partial 16S ribosomal RNA
Rfam family: Bacterial small subunit ribosomal RNA
Source: RNAcentral
AUAAACGCUGGCGGCGUGCCUAAUACAUGCACGUCGAGCGAACAGACGAGGAGCUUGCUCCUCUGAUGUUAGCGGCGGACGGGUGAGUAACACGUGGAUAACCUACCUAUAAGACUGGGAUAACUUCGGGAAACCGGAGCUAAUACCGGAUAACAUGUUGAACCGCAUGGUUCAACAGUGAAAGACGGUCUUGCUGUCACUUAUAGAUGGAUCCGCGCCGCAUUAGCUAGUUGGUAAGGUAACGGCUUACCAAGGCAACGAUGCGUAGCCGACCUGAGAGGGUGAUCGGCCACACUGGAACUGAGACACGGUCCAGACUCCUACGGGAGGCAGUAGUAGGGAAUCUUCCGCAAUGGGCGAAAGCCUGACGGAGCAACGCCGCGUGAGUGAAGAAGGUCUUCGGAUCGUAAAACUCUGUUAUUAGGGAAGAACAAAUGUGUAAGUAACUAUGCACGUCUUGACGGUACCUAAUCAGAAAGCCACGGCUAACUACGUG